Long non-coding RNA from Monopterus albus (swamp eel), 3825 nucleotides. RefSeq lists it as uncharacterized. The record is from RefSeq and is a predicted model, not a curated record. Lineage: Eukaryota; Metazoa; Chordata; Actinopteri; Synbranchiformes; Synbranchidae. The transcript is spliced from 3 exons.
UCCCUGCAACCCCACCCUCUAGUGGGGUUGCAGCAUAACCUCCUAGCAUAGCCGAAGGUUAACAAGCCUUCCUGUGCUCUCCUCACAAAUGGGCUGGAGCAGUGUCAGCUCCCACCACAGGAAACAAGGCAGAGGAUGUGGCAUGCCAGUACGUGAGCCCUGAAGACAAGAUGGAGUGGUGGAGGAAUGAAGGAAGGAUGUGUAUGUGUUAUGACGUCACAGGGUGUGGUGGUCAUGUUCUCAUAGUAGCCAUGUGCUGAUGAUGAGAGAAUUGUUACAGUAGGGUGUGAGAAAGAGAAGAGGUUGUGACAUGAUGCCACAAUGUCAGGGACUAAUCUAAACAUUUACCUUGUUUGCUUUGACCUUUUUUGUACAACAUCUGACAGACAGGGGACUUUUCUAUCUCACGCUGGGUUACUGGGAUCAUUGCUGAUUCACUGUCUGUCCUUCCUUAGAUCACUGUUGGUAGGUACUAAACAGUGCAGACUGGGAACACCCAGCUAGACAUGCAGGCUGGGAGACACUGACCCAAUCGUCAGUCAUCACAGUUUGGCUCUUGUCAAAGUCACAAUUAUCCAUUUUUCCUGCUUCCUGUCCACCUGCUGCCUAAAAUACCCCACACAAUGACAGGUGCCACUGUAACAACAUAAUCAGUGUUAAUCACCUCACCAGUGGUCAUAAUGUAAUGGCCAAUUGGUGUAUAUUGUUAGUUCAUAUAUAAUAAUAAGGUUCAAAGUUAUCAGUAUGAAUGAUGACAAGUAAAACUUUAUAAAUUCUGUUGCAGCUUCAAAUCUGAAACAAAACACAUACAUUUUGGGACAACUAUAGGAUUAGGUGUUGUAAAAAAAACACAAAGCAUUUAUUGCAAUAAACCAUUUUUACCAUGUUUCUAUCAAGAUAAUUCUGUCGGAAUGCAUAUGGACAAAAGGUGUUUUGAUACAUUCACAAUAUUUAAACACACACACUUACCUUUAAAGGAACAGUUCAGACGUCAGAAAGGAAAACAUUUUUACUGCUGGCUUCUGAACUGUACCAUGUAUAACAUAAAACUUAUGAAAAGCAAUAUACACAUGUAUACAGUUACAAACAAAGACCUCUCCACAGAUCAAAAUAUUAUAUUCCUAUAUUUGUACCUGUAUGUGAACCCAUCUGUGACCUCUAAUUGCUCUCCCCAGGCCCCACAGCGCGCACUACAGACGUUGUACCAGCUGUUUCCCCUAAGGCUGCCAAGGCCUCAGACGAGAAAUCUAUACUUGCCAUCAGUCCUCCUGCAUCCAUCCCUGAUUCUACCACGGCCUUAGAAGUGAGCUCUACACUUAUCACCAGUCCUCCCGCAUCCCAACCAACCCCUGAAGAUGAAACAACAGAAGUGACUACUGUGGCAGCACCUUCUAUCAGCUCUGUUUUUUGGACUGAAGCCCCUGAUGCUACCACUAUAGCAUCAGAACCCCCUAGCACUGACCCUCCUGUUUGGGAGACUGCAGCCACCACUGACCUGAUACAGUCUUCAGUCCAAGACACAGUGAUGAAAACCCUCAAGGCGACUGAAGAGGUGGCUGUUGAAGAUGACACAGAGGGCCUGAGCUCUGGCCAGGUAGUCGGCAUCGUGAUUGGUGCUCUGUUGGCAUUGGUCAUCCUCAUUGCCGUGGUGAUUGCUGUGAUGAGAAGGAUGGGAAAAUACUCCCCUUGAGGAAAAAGCCAGACAAACAGCAGAAGUGCCCCAAGUUCUCGAAGUCCUGAACUACUGAGCUCUGACAUAAUUUCUGAUCAUUAAAAAAAGCACAAUACCAGAACUAAACCAAUUUAACCAGGACUGUUGCCAAAACACAAGGGGGAGGGAGGCUUACAGUAUGUGUGUUAAUGUAUGUACAGGAACAUGCAUACUCACUUCCACCGAUACCUCCUUGACCCCCUGAAGCUGUUGAUAGAAAAGGCUCUGUCUUCCCCCUACUCCCCCAGAGAGAACAAAACAAGGUGAUGGCACAGUGUCACAAAGAAUUUCAGGGUUUUUUCAAGUGGAUUUGGUUAAAUAAGAAGACAAAAAGGGGAGAGAAGCUGACAUUUAGGGAGACACUGAUAUGCAGUGAUAUGCUGUACUUAUAGCGAUUGACUUAGCUUUAUGCUGAAGUUGGUGAAAAGACAUUAACAUGUAAAAUACUUACAAAACAAAUGGAAAUUAAAUACUUCAAAAAAGUGGAAGGCGGGAGUAGGAAAAAGGAGAGAUUGUUACAAAUUCCACAGGAUGUAUAUACAUAGUAUAUGUUGCAGUUGCUUGUAGGCUAGCAUUUGAUAUUGUAGAACACACUAUGUACAGGCAUCCUUAGGCUAUUUGGUGUGACCUUUAAAACACCCGAGCACCAGUUAAAACACUUGCUAGUCAAAAUCCCUGAUAUGUUGGUCAACUGUAUGAAGCACCAUGUGCAGAAGUUCUUCUGACAUAGCAUCCAUGGGUUCUGAGGGUUAGCACAGGAAUAAUGGUAAAGAAAAGACACCCUCAUUUGCAAGAGUAACGUGACAUUCUUCCCACUUUAACACCAACAUAUAAAAACUUAAUACAUAUCUGUGAAAUUUAGCAAAGGGGUUUGUGCCACUGUCUCUGGUAUUCUCCAGGUAGUUAGAAGGAUUGUAACCUUUGAAGUGCAUUAUUAAUGUGAAUUUUCUGUACUUUGUAACUGCCACCCAUUCCAAAAAGAACAAUUUUAAUGGCUUCUGGUUCGGUCCUUAUUUGAAGGCUUACACAGAUAUUGUGAUAGUAUUGUCUUGACAAUGUAUUCAUAGUACUUUAAUAGGUAGAUUACCAGAACAGCUAGUUUCAACCGAGAUAGCCAAAGAUCACAUGCAUAGGAUGAUACAGUAUAGUUGCACUUAGCGGGCGUUCAGACUGAGUGCAGUAAACGCCACUCCCUGAUGUAUUUUUAUGUAGCAUGCUGCGCUGGUCGGGGGGUGAGAGAUUGCAGGGGAAGUGUUAUAGGCGUGUACAAUACCAUGUUGUGACGAGUGGUAUCAUUACUGUUUCUAGACCAUGAGUUUCCAUUGUGUUUUGGAUAGCUAUGCUGCUAAUGUAGCCUAUUCUAUGUUAGUGCCAAUUUCUACCACCAGUGUGUCAACACUGAUAGAUAAAACAAAAACACCUUAUAACAUCCAGUCCUAAUUAAUGAAACGCAUGGCGUGUUGUUAUGGUGGAUUUGUAACUGUGGUCCAAAUUAGAAAGUGAAUAGCAGUGAAUGCUCAUGCUAACACAGUAAAAAAUAAGUCUUCUUCCUGUGGGCAUCCAUGCUCUGAUCGUCUUCCAUACGUGAAUGGUUGAUGCAGCACUUUUACCCUUUGAUGUUCCUGUUCUGAGUGGCAAAAGUUGAACCAGAUCCAACUUUUUCGCUGCAUGGGGCCUUUGUGAUCUUGCCAGUGCCCCCUGCUGUGCUUUUGCUGGCUGCGGUGAAGGCAAUCCCCAUAGAAAUGAAUGGAGAGGGCUGCAAUUUUUCAUACCUUUGAAACUCAGUCUGAACGUGGCCUUAGUGUUAGUGCAGUGUUAAGCAGCAAUGCCCUUUAUUGUUAUUUUUGCAAUUGUAAGUGUGCUAAAUGGGUGUACAAAUAAUGAAAUCUCAGCUUAGCUCUGCUUGCUUUACAAGCUUCUUUAAUAUAUGCACUGAUUGAGAGAUGCAAUGUUUAAUGAAUAGGCUCUAGACACUGCAAACAUUUGCAAUGAUGUGCAUUCUCCCUUCUGCUUUACCAAAUAUAAGUCUUUAAUUUGUGCCAUCUGAUUUGUUUGAAUCUUUUAUUUAAUUGCAGUGUUUUUGUUUAUGCUGUUUCAAUAAAAAACUGAAAAUA